Molecule: ribosomal RNA, 370 nt
Filed under: uncultured eukaryote
Lineage: Eukaryota
Description: partial 18S ribosomal RNA
Rfam family: Eukaryotic small subunit ribosomal RNA
Source: RNAcentral
CAAUAGCGUAUAUUAAAGUUGUUGCAGUUAAAAAGCUCGUAGUUGGACCUUGGGCCUGGACGGGCGGUCCGCCUCACGGCGUGUACUGUCUUGCCGGGCCUUUCCUCUUGGUGAUCUGUUGUUUCGGCAGCAGGGAACCAGGACCUUUACUUUGAAAAAAUUAGAGUGUUCAAAGCAGGCUCGACGCCGGAAUAUAUUAGCAUGGAAUAAUAAAAUAGGACGUGCGGUUCUAUUUUGUUGGUUUUUGGAAUCGCCGUAAUGAUUAAUAGGGACAGUCGGGGGCAUUAGUACUCACAUGCUAGAGGUGAAAUUCUUGGAUUUUGUGAAGACUAACUUCUGCGAAAGCAUUUGCCAAGGAUGUUUUCAUUAA